RNAcentral lists this long non-coding RNA (2210 nucleotides) under Salmo salar (Atlantic salmon). RNAcentral describes it as "lncRNA (ENSSSAG00000102953.1, ENSSSAG00020064307.1, ENSSSAG00075016168.1)". Lineage: Eukaryota; Metazoa; Chordata; Actinopteri; Salmoniformes; Salmonidae. The record is from RNAcentral.
UUUGAACACUCCCGUUGCUCUAUUUUCAGAGUGGAUGACAACUGCUCCUAUGGAAUCGCCCCCGUGUUUCCUGUGCUCUGAUUGGUCGAGGUGUCCAGGUUUUAAAGGGACCCCGUCUGCUCUUCUGGCCUGAAGAAGUUUCAGCAGGACUUUUGACAUGACCCUCUCAAGCAAGGAAAAGCUUUGAGCUCCUCUUUCAGGAUACAGCGCCAUAGGGUCGCAGAGAUCAACGAUGGGUGACUGGGCUUGGGCAGAGGAACCUCAGGUUCUGCUAAACAGAACCAUGUCUUCGUUGGACUCCAUCCAUUUUCUGAUCCGCGUCCAACAUUUUAAGAUUUCUGAAGAGGACGUAUUCCGAUUCGGUCAAGUCAGAUAUGCGAAAGUUGAGUCCACUGUUUGCAUGGAGGUCUGAGUUUCCAGCUGCCUCAAUUCUCUUCAGAAUAGAUGUGCAUAAUCCAGACGUUAUAACGGCCUGUAACAUGCCUACUGUUCUUUAAAUGAAGGCUAUGUAGGCUUCGUAAGUUUUUUUGCAAAGUAUGCUAGGCCUACUAUUGCUCUGUGUCAAGCCCACUAACCUACUUGCCCAAUCACAUGCCUCAGUGAUUACACAAAUGCAUAAUGGGACAAUAUAAUUAAAUCAUUAUUAUGUUGGCUAAUUGUGCAUCAGUCCGUUAGGCUGCUAUGUCAUUGAGAAUGAACAAAGUCGUUGUUUGCCAGAGACCCAGUCGUUCAGUCUUUUUCUCGUUCUUUUCGAAAUGUUUCAUUGCCAUACUGGCUGGCGACUUUCUUAUCCAUUGCGUGCUAGCAGUUAAUGGGGAUCCUUAAUAAAAUACAAAAGUACAAACUACAGCUAACUUAGCCAUUUCAAAAAGUGUAACCAGAAUAACAGUAAAGUAGCUGCAUUUGCAUUUGUCUAAACAGUUUUCUAGUGACAUUUACUUGGAUACAUCCAUAACAAUGAGCUAAAGAGGUGCGAUUUUGCCUGGCAUAGAAAAUGUGUUCACUAGUCAGGACACUGUUGUUCAGAGGACAACACAGAUAAUACAAUCACUUCAAACUGAAGCUGGCUAGACAGCCAACUUGCUGCACUUUGUUUCGUUUAACUUUUUUUUUUCAAUUGACGUUUCUUUGUAUAUAUCCAUUAAAAUGAUGAUUUAUGAUUUCGACCGGCUGAGAAACGCUGCCUGCCUGUCUGACUCAUCCGGACUCCCCACACGUUUAUUACAAUGGAGAUCAAAUUUGAAUAUUGAAACAAUGUUUCAAAUGUUGAGACAGACAGCAAGGUUUAUACAAAUCUCCCGCUGUUGAGAACGAAAUGUUAGUCAAAAAGAAAUGUGAGAUAAAGUCUAGAGGAUUUUUAUAGUGGAGAUCAAGUUUGUACAUUUCUUGGCUGGGCUGAUGAGACAGUGGAUUGCGCAGUCAGAUGGAACAGAGUAAAUAGGCAUUUCAUGGUCAUAGAGUUAGCAGGUGGUCACUUCUGGAAUAGACACCGACUGGAAGGCGGUUUUAACCAAUCAGCAUUCACAAUUAGACACACCCGUUGUAUAAAGAACAGAAUAGAAUAGAUGAUUAUGUCAUAGACUCCUGUGUCAACUUUAAACAAUCAUUGGCCAGCUGGGGCAAUGUGUCAUGGGAAAGGCAACACUGUGUAGCCAGUGGUAUUCAUAAUGGAAGGAAGGCUUCACAAGAACCUGGCACAGUAAGGGGAUAGGUCUUAUUACCAUUUAUGAAUGUUUUAUGUGAUGAUCAGUCUGUGUUUGGUGAGUAUGCCCUUGGCUAGGAAUAGGCUAAAAGUAUUUUUAGACCACCGAAUUACAUGCCUUGAUUGAAUAGGGCAAAUGAUUUACACAUAGUUAUUUACUCAAAUAGCUAUGCGAUAUGUCCAGAAUAUUUCAUUAUUUUCCUCAAACUAAAUGAAAACCAUAUUUAGGCUUAACACAGGAGGCUGCUGAGGGGAGGACAGCUCAUAAUAAUGGCUGGAACGGAGCAAAUGGAAUGGCAUCAAACACCUGGAAAUCAUGGAAAUCAUGUGUUUGAUACCAUUCCACUGAUUCUGCUCCAGCCAUUACCACAAGCCCGUCCUCCCCAAUUAAGGUGCCACCAACCUGUGGUAGGCUACAGAGAGAAAUACACUGAUCAAAAAUACAGUGGGGUAUUGUGUGUAGAUUGAUAACAAAAAAACAACAAUUUAAUACAUUUUCGCAUAAGGC